GAGCGGACAGAUGGGAGCUUGCUCCCUGAUGUUAGCGGCGGACGGGUGAGUAACACGUGGGUAACCUGCCUGUAAGACUGGGAUAACUCCGGGAAACCGGGGCUAAUACCGGAUGCUUGUUUGAACCGCAUGGUUCAGACAUAAAAGGUGGCUUCGGCUACCACUUACAGAUGGACCCGCGGCGCAUUAGCUAGUUGGUGAGGUAACGGCUCACCAAGGCAACGAUGCGUAGCCGACCUGAGAGGGUGAUCGGCCACACUGGGACUGAGACACGGCCCAGACUCCUACGGGAGGCAGCAGUAGGGAAUCUUCCGCAAUGGACGAAAGUCUGACGGAGCAACGCCGCGUGAGUGAUGAAGGUUUUCGGAUCGUAAAGCUCUGUUGUUAGGGAAGAACAAGUGCCGUUCAAAUAGGGCGGCACCUUGACGGUACCUAACCAGAAAGCCACGGCUAACUACGUGCCAGCAGCCGCGGUAAUACGUAGGUGGCAAGCGUUGUCCGGAAUUAUUGGGCGUAAAGGGCUCGCAGGCGGUUUCUUAAGUCUGAUGUGAAAGCCCCCGGCUCAACCGGGGAGGGUCAUUGGAAACUGGGGAACUUG
RNAcentral lists this ribosomal RNA (598 nucleotides) under Bacillus amyloliquefaciens. Its description in RNAcentral is "bacterial SSU rRNA". It matches the Rfam family "Bacterial small subunit ribosomal RNA", at positions 64 to 644 of the family's 1533-position model. Lineage: Bacteria; Bacillati; Bacillota; Bacilli; Caryophanales; Bacillaceae. The record is from RNAcentral.